CCUACGGGUGGCAGCAGUGAGGAAUAUUGGUCAAUGGGCGGGAGCCUGAACCAGCCAAGUCGCGUGAGGGAAGACGGUCCUAUGGAUUGUAAACCUCUUUAGGCGGGGAGCAAUUCCGUGCACUCGUGCCCGUAGGGAGAGUACCCGCAGAAUAAGCAUCGGCGAACUCCGUCCCAGCCGCCGCGGUAAUACGGAGGAUGCGAGCGUUAUCCGGAUUUAUUGGUUUUAAAGGUAGCGUAGGCGGCCUUUUGAGUCAGCGGUAAAAUGGCGGGGCUAAACCCGGGCGGGCCGUUGAAACUGGGGAGCUUGAGUGGGCGAGAGGGAUGCGGAAUGCGUGGUGUAGCGGUGAAAUGCAUAGAUAUGACGCAGAACUCCGAUUGCGAAGGCAGCCUACCGGGGCAAGACUGACGCUGAGGCACGAAAGCGUGGGGAUCGAACAGGAUUAGAUACCCUGGUAGUC
Molecule: ribosomal RNA, 460 nt
Filed under: uncultured bacterium
Lineage: Bacteria
Description: partial 16S ribosomal RNA
Rfam family: Bacterial small subunit ribosomal RNA
Source: RNAcentral